GAUGAACGCUGACAGAAUGCUUAACACAUGCAAGUCGACUUGAAUUUGGGUUUUUUAACUUAGAUGUGGGUGGCGGACGGGUGAGUAACGCGUAAAGAACUUGCCUCACAGUUAGGGACAACAUUUGGAAACGAAUGCUAAUACCUGAGAUUAUGAAUAUAUGGCAUCAUAUAAUUAUGAAAGCUAUAAUCGCUGUGAGAAAGCUUUGCGUCCCAUUAGCUAGUUGGAGAGUUAACGGAUCACCAAGGCGAUGAUGGGACGCCGGCCUGGGAGGGUGAACGGCCACAAGGGGACUGAGACACGGCCCGUACGCCUACGGGAGGCAGCGGUGGGGAAUAUAGGAAAAUGGACCAAGAGUCUGAUGCAGGAAUUCUGUUUGCAAGAUGACGUUUUUCGGAAUGUAAAGUGCUUUCAGUUGCGAAGAAAAAAAUGACGGUACCAACAGAAGAAGUGACGGCUAACUACGUG
This 468-nucleotide ribosomal RNA is filed under the name uncultured bacterium. RNAcentral's name for it is "partial 16S ribosomal RNA". It matches the Rfam family "Bacterial small subunit ribosomal RNA", at positions 28 to 507 of the family's 1533-position model. The record is from RNAcentral.